UUCUGUUACUUCGAUUAAUAUAAUUUACAAUCGAACCUAUUAUUAAUUUUUACCAUUCUUUGGUUGAUUUUUAAAUCUUUGUAUAGAGCUGCAAAAUCCAAGCAAAUAGGAGUUAGUGAAGUGAAGAGAAGUGAAGGCCAAUACUCAUGCGAACUAGAUUAAGAGAACGAUUGAUGGCAGGGGUUGUAAUUCCAAAGAGAAACAGGAGCA
This 210-nucleotide long non-coding RNA is filed under the name Carica papaya (papaya). Its description in RNAcentral is "long non-coding RNA (CPAP_LNC014009)". The record is from RNAcentral. Lineage: Eukaryota; Viridiplantae; Streptophyta; Magnoliopsida; Brassicales; Caricaceae.